RNAcentral lists this ribosomal RNA (495 nucleotides) under uncultured bacterium. Its description in RNAcentral is "partial 16S ribosomal RNA". It matches the Rfam family "Bacterial small subunit ribosomal RNA", at positions 28 to 507 of the family's 1533-position model. The record is from RNAcentral.
GACGAACGCUGGCGGCGUGCCUAAUACAUGCAAGUAGAACGCUGAAGGAGGAGCUUGCUUCUCUGGAUGAGUUGCGAACGGGUGAGCAACGCGUAGGUAACCUGCCUGGUAGCGGGGGAUAACUAUUGGAAACGAUAGCUAAUACCGCAUAAGAUUGACUAUUGCAUGAUAGUCAGUUAAAAGGUGCAAUUGCAUCACUACCAGAUGGACCUGCGUUGUAUUAGCUAGUUGGUGGGGUAACGGCUCACCAAGGCGACGAUACAUAGCCGACCUGAGAGGGUGAUCGGCCACACUGGGACUGAGACACGGCCCAGACUCCUACGGGAGGCAGCAGUAGGGAAUCUUCGGCAAUGGACGGAAGUCUGACCGAGCAACGCCGCGUGAGUGAAGAAGGUUUUCGGAUCGUAAAGCUCUGUUGUAAGAGAAGAACGAGUGUGAGAGUGGAAAGUUCACACUGUGACGGUAUCUUACCAGAAAGGGACGGCUAACUACGUG